UGGGGAAUAUUGCACAAUGGGCGCAAGCCUGAUGCAGCCAUGCCGCGUGUAUGAAGAAGGCCUUCGGGUUGUAAAGUACUUUCAGCGGGGAGGAAGGUGUUGAGGUUAAUAACCUCAGCAAUUGACGUUACCCGCAGAAGAAGCACCGGCUAACUCCGUGCCAGCAGCCGCGGUAAUACGGAGGGGACAAGCGUUAAUCGGAAUUACUGGGCGUAAAGCGCACGCAGGCGGUCUGUCAAGUCGGAUGUGAAAUCCCCGGGCUCAACCUGGGAACUGCAUUCGAAACUGGCAGGCUAGAGUCUUGUAGAGGGGGGUAGAAUUCCAGGUGUAGCGGUGAAAUGCGUAGAGAUCUGGAGGAAUACCGGUGGCGAAGGCGGCCCCCUGGACAAAGACUGACGCUCAGGUGCGAAAGCGUGGGGAGCAAACA
This 427-nucleotide ribosomal RNA is filed under the name uncultured bacterium. RNAcentral's name for it is "partial 16S ribosomal RNA". It matches the Rfam family "Bacterial small subunit ribosomal RNA", at positions 355 to 774 of the family's 1533-position model. The record is from RNAcentral.